RNAcentral lists this ribosomal RNA (253 nucleotides) under uncultured bacterium. Its description in RNAcentral is "partial 16S ribosomal RNA". It matches the Rfam family "Bacterial small subunit ribosomal RNA", at positions 524 to 776 of the family's 1533-position model. The record is from RNAcentral.
GACGGAGGAUGCAAGUGUUAUCCGGAAUCACUGGGCGUAAAGCGUCUGUAGGUGGUUUCAAAAGUCCACUGUUAAAGAUUGAAGCUUAACUUCAAAAAUGCCGUGGAAACUUUGAAACUUGAGUAUGAUAGGGGUAGAGGGAAUUUCCAGUGGAGCGGUGAAAUGCGUAGAUAUUGGAAAGACCACCAAUGGCGAAGGCACUCUACUGGGCCAUUACUGACACUGAGAGACGAAAGCUAGGGGAGCAAAUGGG